UAACUGUCUCGGGUAACCGCGGGUUUUAUAAAUCCGAGGAAAGUCCGAGCUCCAUAGGGCAGGAUGCUGGAUAACGUCCAGGGGGGGCGACCCCACGGAAAGUGCCGCAGAAAAGGAAUCGGCAUCUUUGGCUGUGCCGAAGAUGUUAGAGCUGAAAAGGUGCGGUAAGAGCGCACCAGCGGUCGGGGAACCGGCCGGCUUGGCAAACCCCAUCCGGAGCAAGACCAAAUAGGGAAGAAAUGAAGCGGCCCGCUUCUCUUCCGGGUUGGUCGCUGGAGGCGUCGGGCAACCGCCGUCGUAGAUAAAUGGUUACCGCUAUCUGUCCUUUUGGACAGCUAACACAGAACUCGGCUUAUAGAGACAGUUAUUUU
RNAcentral lists this RNase P RNA (371 nucleotides) under Bacillota bacterium. RNAcentral describes it as "RNase P RNA component class A". It matches the Rfam family "Bacterial RNase P class A". Rfam says of the family: Ribonuclease P (RNase P) is a ubiquitous endoribonuclease, found in archaea, bacteria and eukarya as well as chloroplasts and mitochondria. Lineage: Bacteria; Bacillati; Bacillota. The record is from RNAcentral.